Molecule: long non-coding RNA, 1017 nt
Organism: Chlorocebus sabaeus (green monkey)
Lineage: Eukaryota; Metazoa; Chordata; Mammalia; Primates; Cercopithecidae
Source: RefSeq, a predicted model, not a curated record
GGAAGCCAGUGACGGAUUCACCAGCUUUUCUGAAAAUCAGGCUGAUAGAACACCCUGUGCACCUCUGUCAUAAGAAAUGAAACAGACUGCUGUUUUCACAAGAUACAACUAAUUCCUGAAGGUAGAGAAGACAGUGUGAGGAUCGCAAAGAGCACGGAUGCAGUUCUUCGAGAAAACGAGUGUGCAAGAAGUAUGUUGUAAUUGAAGUGGCAUAUUGCCUGCCACCCAAGAGGUUGCUCUGUAAGUGAAAUGUGUCUACAUUUCUCUGGAAAACAAUUCCCAAGGGUACAACUGCUGCGUCAAAUGGUAAGUGAAUGUCUACUUUAAAAGUGUUAUAUUGUUUUUUUAGAGUGGGUAUAUCAUUUUACUUUACCAUCAGCAAUGUAUUAGAGAUCCUGUUUCUCAGUAUCAGGCAACAGAUAAUGUAUGUGCCUUGUAUAAGUUUCUAGAACAUGAAAGUAUAGGAAUCUUCUUUUAUUUUAUUAUGUUAGCAUACGCUUUACAUCCAAACCUAGCUGUGGGCUGAAAAAGUGAUUCUCUGGAAUUUAAGAAACUUAAAACCCCUGAUUUAUAACAACUGCCUAUUUGCCAGAUGUAGCUAUUCCCACCAUGGUUUUCAAACUACCCACAUGACUUAAUUGAAAGUGAAUCAAGGAAAAAAAUACUCACAACUCAUUCUCACACAGUUCUCACUGGCACAAACCAGUUCCAGCACACUGCUGCACAUACACAAACAUAUGCACACAUGCAUUUACACAUAUAUACACACAUGCAUAUUCACACACACAUACAAACACAGAUGCAUAGAGACACCAGAUUUAUCUCCUUCAUGCAUAUAGAUGGACAAUAAGAUGACAAGAUGAAUUUAAUAACAUGACAUAAUCAAAUGUAGAGACAGAUAUAAAAUAAGUAGAGUAUGAAACUAUGAAACAAUUUUGGAAAUAAAAGUGUAUAUUAAUGUGCAAAUAUAUGUAUAGAAUAUGAGACUGAAAACACCAAAAUGUUCAUAGUGUUUAU